UUGGCGCUUCGGCCUUCGGGCAGUUAUUUUUGGGCGCGCCUUUGCCCGCGGCCUAUUUUUGGCACACGGAGGCCCCUCAUAAAGUCUCGCGGCAUUCCGAGUCCGGCGGACGAAGUUGGCCAGCCCCACCCCCCAAGGCUAUAGCCCGCCCGUUUUUGUGGCCUGUUUCCGCUGGACGAACUUGGCGCCCCGGCCUUAGGUCGGUUAUUUUUGGACGCGGCUUUGCCCGCGGCCUAUUUUUGGCACACGGAGGCUACUCGCAAAGGCUCGCGGCAUUCCGAGUCCGGCGGACGAUGUUGGCCAGCCCCAACCCCCAAGGCUAUAGCCCACCCGUUUUUGUGGCAUUUUUCCGCCGGACGAACUUGGCGCCCCGGCCUUCGGGCGGUUAUUUUUGGGCCCGGCUUUGUCCGCGGCCUAUUUUUGGCACACGGAGGCCCCUCGCAAAAUCUCGCGGCAUUCUGAGUCCGGCGGACGAAGUUGGCCAGCCCCACCCCCCAAGGCUAUAGCCCACCCGUUUUUGUGGCCUUUUUCCGCUGGACGAACUUGGCGCCCCGGCCUUCGGGCGGUUAUUUUCGGGUGCGGCUUUGCCCGCAGCAUUUUUUUGGCACACGGAGGCCCCUCGCAAAGUCUUGCGGCAUUCCGAGUCCGGCGGACGAAGUAGGCCAGCCCCACCCCCCAAGGCUAUAGCCCACCCGUUUUUGUGCCUUUUUCC
RNAcentral lists this long non-coding RNA (712 nucleotides) under Citrus x clementina. RNAcentral describes it as "Citrus clementina (C. clementina) long non-coding RNA (CCLE_LNC002220)". The record is from RNAcentral. Lineage: Eukaryota; Viridiplantae; Streptophyta; Magnoliopsida; Sapindales; Rutaceae.